UACGGAGGGGGCUAGCGUUUUUCGGAAUUACUGGGCGUAAAGCGCACGUAGGCGGAUUGUUAAGUCGGGGGUGAAAUCCCGGGGCUCAACCCCGGAACGGCCCUCGAUACUGACAGUCUCGAGGACGGUAGAGGCUAGUGGAAUGGCGAGUGUAGAGGUGAAAUUCGUAGAUAUUCGCCGGAACACCAGUGGCGAAGGCGACUGGCUGGACCGUUACUGACGCUGAGGUGCGAAAGCGUGGGGAGCAAACAGG
This 253-nucleotide ribosomal RNA is filed under the name uncultured bacterium. Its description in RNAcentral is "partial 16S ribosomal RNA". It matches the Rfam family "Bacterial small subunit ribosomal RNA", at positions 524 to 776 of the family's 1533-position model. The record is from RNAcentral.